GAUGGACCCGUCCUCCGGUGCCUACUGAGCUGAUAUCAGUUCUGAUUUUACAUACUGGCUCAGUUCAGCAGGAACAGGAGUCGAGCCCUA
Gallus gallus (chicken) is the source of this 90-nucleotide microRNA precursor. Lineage: Eukaryota; Metazoa; Chordata; Aves; Galliformes; Phasianidae. The record is from Ensembl.